This 5904-nucleotide long non-coding RNA is filed under the name Homo sapiens (human). Its description in RNAcentral is "long non-coding RNA NONHSAT179982.1". The record is from RNAcentral. Lineage: Eukaryota; Metazoa; Chordata; Mammalia; Primates; Hominidae.
GACACUAUUACAGAUAGAAUGACCACAACCAUAUUAACAAACCAAAAACCUGUGCACAGAAACAAGAUGAAGAAAAUAUAUCAAGAUGUUAACCACACUCUUUGGAUGGUGAAAACAUGGGUGAGUUUCUCUUCUACAUUUCUGUAACUUCAAAGUUUCUAUAAUGAACACAUUUCAUAUAUAAUGGAAAUAUAUGUAGUAAAGGUGGACUACCAAAACACUAGAAUGAUGACCUUUCAAGGAAACCGAAACAAAAUAACCAUAAUCCCACAACAACCACACAACUAUUUCUUGUUUUUCAUCUUUCUUCCCAUCUUUGACAUUUAUGCAUACUUAUCACUAACACCCUAAUAAUCACAGACUAGUGCACAGAUCAAGAUGUUAACAGUUAAUUGUUGUUGGGUGUUGGGAAUAUGUGUGAAUUUUCUUUACUGAAUUUCCAAAGUUUUGUAUGAGUAUGUAUUAUAUUUGUAAUGGAAAAUACAUACAUAAAAUUUAUUACCAAAACACCAAAGAUUAUUUAAGGAAUUUGAGACAAAAUAUUUAACCAAAUUCCCACAAUGACAACACUAUUUUAGUUAUUUUCCACAUCUUUUCAUUUAAGACUUUAUGCACACAUAUUUAACACUGUUAUCACAAGCGUGUGCACUGAAACAAGAUAGAGGAAACAGAUCAAGAUGUUAGCAGUAGUUGUUAGGUGUUGGGAAUAUAGGUAAUUUUUUAAAAUAAUUUACUUUAUUUUCUAAUUUUUCCUCUGGGUAUGUAUUAUGCACACCAAUGGAGACACACAUAAUACACUGUUAUCAGGACAUUAUUAUAGGGAACAUUUGAAAAAAUUAAAGUGAAAGUAUUUAACCAUAAUUCCACAAAGGUAAUGUAACAGCUAUUUUGAAUAUACAUUUUGACACAGUUAUAAUCAUAAACCUGUGCACAGAAACAAGAAUGAACAAGAUAAGAGGAGAGUAUAUGUCUUUGGAUGGUGGGGAUAUGAUUUUUUUUCCUCCACUUUUCUGUAUUUUCCAAGUGUGUGAUAAUGAGUUCAAAUUAUGUUCACAAUGAAAAUGUGAUCAUAAACUUUUUAGUAACACUACCAUAAAGAACAUUCAAGAAAUUUAAGAAAAUAAUGCUCAACUAUAAGCCUACAACAACAACACCACAACAGCUUUUGACUAUAAGCAUAUAUAUUUUUAAACAGUUAUAAUGAACUGUUUAAAUGAACUGUUAAAUGAACAGCAUAUAAAUGAACUGUUGAGUUAUAACUGUAGUAUAAAUAUACUUUCGUGUCCUGCUUUCUCCACUUAAUGUUCUGUAAAUAUAUUUCCACGUUGCUACAUAACUCGUGAUUAUCAUUUUUAAACAGUUGCAUUAAGUGUCCACAGAUAGGUUUAAACAAUCAUUCUCUUGUUUACCAUUUGUUACUACCUUUUCACUAGCUGAAGGUUGGAACGGACACCCUGACUUACAGCAAGUUGCUUUCUGAAAAGGGGCUACCACUGCCAACAAUGUUAACACCAAGUAAUGUACCCACAAAGUUCACCCCGACAUCAACACUGAUUCUCGUUUCAAGAGUCCUUUUCCCAUGUAGUAAACCUCACUGCCCCUCAGCUUUCCCGAUGUCCGUUCCAACCUCAGUCCUUCCUAUGCAGCCAGCCCUCACCUACACCAUACCAUCAAAAACUCCUUUUCCAAACUGCUCAGGACACCCCGCUCAAUUCAUUCUCAGAAACCUGGCCUUCUACAGUUCUUGCCUCUGGUGUUUUCUUCUGUCUGUCUCCUCUCCCCUCCUAGAUCUGGUGAUAUAUUAGGACUCCCUUCUUUGACUCACUCAUUUCUGCUUCUUGCUCUCAGCUCUACAAUCUUCCUAAACUUUGACACUCCCUGCAUCUUUGACAUACUUCCAAGCCCUAAUCCUGCAGAUCCAGAAGAGUAAGAUUCAGACACAUUUCCCCCAGUGGGUACUUUAAUUUUGCUUGUUCAAAUGAUCUACACUUACAUUUUGCAAAUCUUUUUUUUUAAAUUUUUUAAAUUUUAUAUUUUUUUUCCAGCCAACUCAAGGCCAAAAAAAAUUUCUUAAUAUAGUUAUUAUGCGAGGGGAGGGGAAGCAAAGGAGCACAGGUAGUCCACAGAAUAGGACACAAGAAACCUCAAGCUGUGAGGUCAAUUUGUAAUUAAAAGAAUACUAAGAUUAGAUGAACACAACACUCAGAAAUACUCUAGGAGAGCUGAAAAAGAAGGAACAGAUGUUAACAAAACAAAUUAAGGCUGCUGGGGAACCUGAGUCCAUGUUAAGCUUGGGUUGACUGUAAAGAAUUUUUUUUUUUUUAAUGCAAGUUAGACAUGGAGUUAGAGGGUCAGAUAAAUAACGAAGAGAAUUAAGUUAGCGAUAGAAAGAUCUAAGGAUACUAGCUCCUGGGCACCUAGGGUGCAAACUGACUUGUGGCAGCAUAAGCUGAUGCUGCACAGGGGACCCAAGCCAUGUUGCUACUUGUCACUUAAGGCAGGAAGCGCACAAAGGAAGUGAUGGUUGUAACCCAUUCUUUAAAGGCAAAGAUGUAAGAUUUACAGGGAAAAGCUUCGGGUUUUAUCAAUUCACUAUCAUCAAACACAUAUUGAGUUGGUUAAAAAAAAAAAAAACCCAGAACACAAAUGUGUAAUAUUUUUGCAUGAGAACCACUUCAACAAACAUAACAUGUGGCAACCAAUCAAUCUGGGUCACAAAAAGCCAAUCCGUAUAUUGUAAAGCCUUACACAGUAUUAGGUUCCAAAGUGUUGGCGCAGAUGAAAUGGCUGCAGAAAGAAGCUAAAGUACUUAUCUUUUCAAACAGUAAGGAGUAAAAGCCAUGUUAUCUAUCAUGCCUACAGCUUCACAAGACUAUUUAAGGGUAAGAAACAAAACAAUUACUCAAAAAGAUAUUGACAGGGUUCAAAUAAUGCACAAUAAAUCUUUCUCAGGAUCUAAGACACUUAAAAAUAUAAUCAAAUUUGUUGCUCUCUUCCUCCUCCAAAAAAAAAAAAAAUUCAAAGAAUACCAGGUAAGGUACCUCUGCAGAGUAAACUGUAACUGUAUAUCAUAUAAAUCCAAAUAUAUGUGAUCACUGUUCUGUCAUAAUUUGCUAUUUUAUAUACACCUCAUGAAACACUAUAUAUACGUUACACAAGUGUCAUUUACAGUUGAUUUGGGCAAACUCUGUAGUCUGGAAUACUCAUAGGGUUUUCUCAAUCUGAUUACUUGGAAAGGUAAGAUGUGUGCUAUGGCUUUCCCACAUGCAGACACUGACAUCUGAAGGGGAAAGCUUAAGACUGUGGAAUCUGCACAUUCGGUCUCUUUUCAAUCUGAGUUUAGAGAUGUUAAGUCAGGUGUGUAACACACUAAGGUUAAGUCUCCUACUGACAUUAUCAUGGAUUGGUUUGGAUUCUCUGUGGUUUGGUAAGGGUCAAGUCCUAGGUGAAGGUUUUCUAACCUUUACCCCAUGCCCUCAGCCAGUGUGGGUAUUCUGGUGUCUGGCGAGGGACAGGCGGUCAUUGAAGAGCUGCCCACAGACGUCACAUUUGAAGUACUUCUCAUCAGCUUGAUUGGCACCACCUGUGCUGGUGCUGGCACGUUCGAUGUAGCCUGAGCACUCCCCAAAGGCAUUUGCAGGCUCAAAUAUGAUCAUGCUGGCAUGAGUUUUCAGGUGUUCACUGAAUGCUGUGCUGGAAGUGAAGGUUUCUGUGCAUUCAUGGCAGUCAUAGUAUGGUUCUUCUACCUGAAUCUCUUGAUCUUCACCUUCUUCUGGGUCUUCAAUUCCCACACCGUCAGGCUCGUCGGCAUCUCCCUCUGGCUCUUCAGCUUUUCCCUCUGGCUCUUCAGCUCUUUCUUCUGGGUCUUCAAUACCUGCACCAUCUGGCUCAUCAGCAUCCCCAUUUGGCUGCUCGGCCUCUCCAUUUGGCUGUCCAGCCUCUCCAAUGGGCUCUGCAGCCUCUCCAUCUGGCCCUUCAGCCUCUCCGUUUGGCUCAGCAGCCUCCACUUCUGGCUCAGCAGCCUCCACUUCUGGCUCGGCAGCCUCCACUUCUGGCUCAGCAGCCUCUACGUUUAAGCCCUGAAUCCUCAGAACUACUUGUGGAACAUGGACAUUGGCUUCAACUUCCUGGGCUGCUGCUGCUGCAGCUGCUGCUGCUUCAUCUUCUUCUUCUUCUUCCAGAUGAAGCUCCUUAUGUUUAGUGAGGACUGUGCUAUGAAUAAAGGACUUACCACAAUCCUUGCAUUCAUAGAAUGGUAUAGCUCCUUUGAGGGGCUCAGUAAGAAAUGAGGUGUGAGUAUAGGAGGACCCGUACUCAUAGGGCUCAUUCUUAUGAACAGUUACGUGAUCUGCAAGUUCUGCUGGGUUGACGAAAGAUUCUCCACAGACUGCACAUUCAAAGAGUCUCUCUUCGGUCUGACUUCUCUGAAACUCAGUGAGGGCUAAGCCUGGAAUGAUAGCUUCCUCAGCCAUCUGGCUCUGCUCCAGUAAAUCAUCUUCCCUAUGAAGUCUCAUAUGCUCAUUAAGGGCAGAGCUAUGAAUGAAGCCUUGUCCACACAAAAGGCAUCGAAUGGCCGACCCAGCAAGAGCAGGAUUCCUCUCUGCAGCACGAUUCCUCCGUGGCUUCAUGGGCAAGAGGGCAAUAAAACCAUCAUCACACCCCUUCAUGGAAUACAACUGGUCUUGUUCAUGGAUUCUCUGAUGCUCGAAAAGGAAUGAGCUAUGAAUAAAAGAUUCCCCACACUUUGGACAUUCAUACAGCUGCUCUCCAGUGUAAUCUCUCUGAUACUCGCUGAUGGAAUGGGUGUGAAUUACAGAAUGUGUGUACUCCCGACUGUCAACCAGGCACUUCCUGCUGUGGACUUUCUGAUGGUCUGUGAGGUCUGUGAGAUCCACAAAGCCCAGGCCACAGUCCUCACAUUCAUAGAUUUUGUCAUCAGGGUCAUCCUUCUGAGGGUCUUCCAUGUCUGAGCCUUGAAUGACAGGGUCUUCAAUUGUCUCCUGACCAUGGGUCUCCUCGCUGUGGGUCUCCUCCCCAUCAGUAUUCUCGCCUUGAGACUCCUCGCCAUGAGACUUCUCUUGGUCAUAGAUUUUCUGGUUUGUGUUGAGGUCUUCGCUGGUAGCAAAAAAUUGUCUGAAGUCCUUACAUUUGUUCCGCGCUUGCUCUUUAGCAUACUGCUCUUGGGCGUAACUUGUUUGAGGGUCAGUAGGGGCCAAGCUGCGAAUGACAGACCAUUCAUAGUUUCUGCUUCCAGAGGGCUUCUCCCUAUCAUGAAUCUUCUGGUGCUCAGUGAGGUCAGAGCUAUGAGCAAAGCACUCCCCACACUCCUGACAUUCAUAGAGCAUCCCUCGAGGGCGAAAUGUUUGUUCACCAAAAGGCAGAGAGUGAAUUACAGAGGUCUCAUUGCUCCUAUGCUCAAUGUAUUUCUUUUUAGCACGAGCCUUCUGGUAUUCACGGACAUUUGAGCUGGGAACAGAGAAUUCGCCAUCCUUCUUAAACUCACCAGAUCCCUCUCCAGGAACACUUUUCUGAGGUUUGGCACGGAAUACACUCUGUAUGACAGAGUCUUCAUAGUUGCGAUUCUUACUGCCCCCUUCACAAGGGUUCUCUCUGGCAGGAAUCUUCUGUCGCUUAUCAUUAAGGUCUGAGAUAUAAAUGGAGGAUUCUCCCUUCUCAUUAGAUUCCACCAAUUCAUUUCCAUUGUGACUUCUUGGAGGUUUGGAAGCCACUAAGCUAUGGAUAACAGACCUACUGUAUUCCCUUCCUUCAGAGGUGUUCCCUCCAGCACGAACUCUCUGAUGGUUGAUAGCAUCGAAGCUCUGAAUGGUAGACUCUGCCAUUACUUUUGGUUUACUGGGCCCUGCUACACUGUGACUUUUCUGAGCUUCCACAGAGGCUAAGCUA